UCCUGACAAUAGGACGGGAUCUAAUCCCCGGG
Molecule: small RNA, 32 nt
Filed under: Bombyx mori (domestic silkworm)
Lineage: Eukaryota; Metazoa; Arthropoda; Insecta; Lepidoptera; Bombycidae
Description: ovarian small RNA-27899
Source: RNAcentral